UUAAGUUCAGCGGGUAGUCCUACCUGAUCCGAGGUCAACCUUGAGAAGUUUGGGGGGCAAGGCAAGCCUACGCCGGUCCGCCAGGGCGAGAUACAAGUACUGCGCCCGGAGUUCCAGCGAGUCCGCCACUAGAUUUAGGGGCCUACGGCACGUAGAGCCCCAACACCAAGCCAGGCUUGAGGGUUGAAAUGACGCUCGGA
This 200-nucleotide unclassified non-coding RNA is filed under the name Myrmecridium sp. RNAcentral's name for it is "partial internal transcribed spacer 2". The record is from RNAcentral. Lineage: Eukaryota; Fungi; Ascomycota; Sordariomycetes; Myrmecridiales; Myrmecridiaceae.